AUGAGCGUCAGCCGCCUGUGCUGUGUGGUGUUUUGUCUUCUACAGGCAGGGUCGCUGAAUGCUGGCAUCACUCAGACCCCCAAAUUCCAGGUCCUGGGGACAGGACAGAACAUGACACUGAAAUGUCACCAGGAUAUGAACCACAACUCCAUGUACUGGUAUCGACAAGACCAUGGACAUGGGCUGAGGCUGAUCCAUUACUCAGUCGGUGCUGGCACCUCUACAAAUGGAGAAGUCCCGGAUGGAUACAGUGCCUCUAGGCCAAAUAUAAUGAUCUUCCUUCUCAAGCUGCUGUCCACAACCCCCUCCCAGACAUCUGUGUACUUCUGUGCCAGCAGUGUGCUGUUGACACAUCUCAGUGAUGAUGCCCAGCAGACAGAGGUGUGA
Enhydra lutris kenyoni (northern sea otter) is the source of this 387-nucleotide non-coding RNA. Lineage: Eukaryota; Metazoa; Chordata; Mammalia; Carnivora; Mustelidae. The record is from the annotation of a RefSeq genome assembly.